AAUCAACGCUGGCGGCGUGCCUCAGACAUGCAAGUCGAACGAUUAAAGCUCUCUUCGGAGAGUGUAUAGAGUGGCGCACGGGUGAGUAACACGUAAGUAAUCUACCUUCGAGUGGGGAAUAACGUCCGGAACGGACGCUAAUACCGCAUAAUGCAGCGGCAUCGCAAGAUGACAGUUGUUAAAGAUUUAUCGCUUGAAGAGGAGCUUGCGGCAGAUAGCUAGUUGGUAAGGUAAUGGCUUACCAAGGCUACGAUCUGUAACCGGUCUAAGAGGACGGUCGGUCACACUGACACUGAAUAACGGGUCAGACUCCUACGGGAGGCAGCAGUCGGGAAUUUUGGGCAAUGGGCGAAAGCCUGACCCAGCAACG
This 370-nucleotide ribosomal RNA is filed under the name uncultured bacterium. Its description in RNAcentral is "bacterial SSU rRNA". It matches the Rfam family "Bacterial small subunit ribosomal RNA", at positions 32 to 396 of the family's 1533-position model. The record is from RNAcentral.